AGCGAACGCUGGCGGCAGGCUUAACACAUGCAAGUCGAGCGGGCAUCCUUGUGGUGUCAGCGGCAGACGGGUGAGUAACGCGUGGGAACGUGCCCUUCGGUUCGGAAUAACUCAGGGAAACUUGAGCUAAUACCGGAUACGUGCGAGAGCAGAAAGGUUUAUCUGCCGAAGGAUCGGCCCGCGUCUGAUUAGCUAGUUGGUGAGGUUAUGGCUCACCAAGGCGACGAUCAGUAGCUGGUCUGAGAGGAUGAUCAGCCACACUGGGACUGAGACACGGCCCAGACUCCUACGGGAGGCAGCAGUGGGGAAUAUUGGACAAUGGGGGCAACCCUGAUCCAGCCAUGCCGCGUGAGUGAUGACGGCCUUAGGGUUGUAAAGCUCUUUUCUCCGGGACGAUAAGGACGGUACCGGAGGAAUAAGCCCCGGCUAACUUCGU
This 436-nucleotide ribosomal RNA is filed under the name uncultured bacterium. Its description in RNAcentral is "partial 16S ribosomal RNA". It matches the Rfam family "Bacterial small subunit ribosomal RNA", at positions 29 to 506 of the family's 1533-position model. The record is from RNAcentral.